This is a long non-coding RNA of Equus caballus (horse), 2523 nucleotides long. NCBI's taxonomy places the organism in Eukaryota, Metazoa, Chordata, Mammalia, Perissodactyla, Equidae. The record is from Ensembl.
CCACUUCUCCGCUGCUGCUUUAAGACUGCAGAGCGCCCCAGCGGCCAGAGGCAGGGGAGGGGGUCCCCGCUCGCCUCCGCUCCGCUCGCUCCUCGCCCGCCCGCCUCCCAGGCAGGGAAGGUUAGCGAGGGAUCAAUGUGACUCGGGCCGCAGGAGAGGAAAGAUGAGCCUGCCCGCCCGCCUGCUGCCUGGAUGUGGAGGCUGAGGGCUGGCGCACGGGAGGCCCUUGCUGCGCAGUCGGGGCGCCGGGCGCCCGGCAUGAGCUCACGCCCGCGGCGGCGGCUCUCUGCCCGUGCCGACCUGCCGGCGGCCCCCUGAGCUGACGGCGCCCCUGGGCUGCAGCCCCGCCGGGCCGCUCUGGCCGCAGCGUCGGGCGCGGCGCCCGGGAGCAGUCGGCUUGAAAACUUCAGCGAUGAGCCUUUUUCCGACAGAACAGGAAGUGAAAUGAACUAUUUCUGGUCAUUCUCCUUAAGGUUGGUCGUUUAUGGGACACACACUGGUGCAGGCUAGAGCUCCUCUAUAUCUGAAAGCAAUGUUGGGGAAAUGCAUCCAGAUGAACCAGAUUUUUCAAGUUCUGGCAGAAUACUACCGCUUAGCUCUGCCCAUGGGCUUGAGUCUUCUCUGCGGACAGUCCCGUCAAUGCUCUUUCCCUCCCUAGUAUCUGGAGGCAAAUCUGCUGUUCCUGAGCCAUUCAUGCUGUUCCCUGCGUGUGCCUGGGGCAAAGAAGAGUGGGAGCUAUUCAUCUUCACCCGAAAUCUCCUCCCUGUCUGCCUGAGCCCUGUCUGGUCUAACUUACUUGAACUCCUUGAGCCGACCUGCCCUGUUUUGGAAACAGAUAGUGAUGGCUGUUUUGUGAUCCAUACGCUUUUAUCACUUUUGUUGUUUUCCUACUGAUGGCCAGCCAUGGCAGGCCUCCAGCGUUUCUGAGCACCUGCUGCAUACCUCCAGCCCGGGGCUGGUACCCUGAGGUAUCAGCUCUUUGGAUCCACACAUGGAACUUAAGAGGCAGAUGCUGUUUUCCCCAAGGUGCAGGUCCACUGCUGGUGAUGGGAGGUCACAGGCCCAAGGUCACACAGCAGCAGGAUCUGAACACACGUCAGCUAAGAGACAGACUUACAGAUUAAUCUUCAGAAAUAAGCCCUGACCCUCCCACAGUGUUGGUACGAAUGAAAAAUUGUAUAGCCGCCUUGGAAAACAGCCUUAGAGUUUAAAAGCUAAAAAUAGAGUUACCGUAUGAACCAGCAAUUCCUUUCCUCGGUAUAUACGCAAGAGAAGUGAAAUGUUCAUAUAAAAACUUUGACAUGAAGAUUUGUAGCAGCAUUCUUCAUAACAGCCCCAAAGAAGAAACAACUCAAAAGUCCAUCAACUGACGAAUAGAUAAACCAUGGAACAGCAAUACAAUGGAUUUUGUUAUUAUUAGUGCUGUGAGGUCGAUUCUGACUCUAGCUAUGCUGUAGACAGUGGAGGGGAGCCCUGCUGGGUCUUUUUGAGCCAUAUUCUCACCUUCUGGUGCUGUAUCAGACAAUGAUCUGCUGCCGUUCACAGGGUUUUCUUGGCCAAGUUUUUCAGAAGUGAGUGGCCAGGUCCUUCUUCCUAGUCUGUCAGUCUGGAAGCUCCUCUGAAACCUGUCCGCCAUGGGUAACAUUUGGACACCCAGAUGUCCAAAUGCUUGUAUUUGAAAUACUGGUGCCAUAGCUUUCAGCAUCACAGCAACAUACAACCACCACAGUAUGACAACUGAGAGACGGGUGGUGUGGUUCCCUGACCGGGCAAUGAACCCAGGCCGCGGUGGUGAGGGCGCCAAACAUUAGCCACUAGACCACCAGGGCUGCCCCAAUGAAAUAUUACUUCAUGAUAAAAAGGAAUGAAGUACUAACAUAUGCUACAACAUGGAUGAAGCUUGAAAUUGUUGUGCUAAGUGAAAGAAGCCAGUCACAAAAGGUCAAAUGCUGUAUGAUUCCAUUUAUAUGAAAUGUCCAGAAUAGGCAAAUCCAUAGAGACAGAGAGUAGAAUGGUGUUUGCCUAGGGCUGGUGGAGUGGAGGGAAAUGGGAAAAGAUGGCUAACGGGUACAGGUUUCUUUCUAGGGUGGCAAAAAUCCUCUAAAAUUAGAUUUAGUGAUGGUUGUUCAACUCUGUGAAUAUACCAAAACAUUGAAUUGUACAAUUUAAAUGGGUCUAAUGUAGAAUAUGUGAGUUCUCUCUCAAUAAUGCUGUUACAAAAAAAAAAUCGACUCUAUAGGUCACAUUUACUUGGGCAUUUUGAGUGAAAGUGAUUUAAAGCUCAAGAAAAAAAAUACUUGUCCUUAAAAUGGAGGAGCAGAAAAAAUUUGCCCUUUUGGAAUCUCAGAGCUAUUGUUAUUUUUGAGGAUUUAUUGAUGCAUAGAAAUAUGGAUUUGAAAAAUUUUAACCAUUCUUUCCCGAGUAAAAUACUAAUCUGUAUUUGCAUAAGUAGGUGGGCAAUAGUCUACACUAUUUGUUUGUUUGUUCAAUGAGGAAACAAAUAAAUUAUUGCUCCUGGACCAC